UACAGAGGGGGCAAGCGUUGUUCGGAAUUACUGGGCGUAAAGGGCGCGUAGGCGGCCUGUUAAGUCGAACGUGAAAUCCCCGGGCUCAACCCGGGAACUGCGUCCGAAACUGGCAGGCUCGAAUUCGGGAGAGGGAUGCGGAAUUCCAGGUGUAGCGGUGAAAUGCGUAGAUAUCUGGAGGAACACCGGUGGCGAAGGCGGCAUCCUGGACCAUUACUGACACUGAAACGCGAAAGCCAGGGGAGCAAACGGG
RNAcentral lists this ribosomal RNA (253 nucleotides) under uncultured bacterium. Its description in RNAcentral is "partial 16S ribosomal RNA". It matches the Rfam family "Bacterial small subunit ribosomal RNA", at positions 524 to 776 of the family's 1533-position model. The record is from RNAcentral.